UAACGCGAAGAACCUUACCAAGGCUUGACAUACACCGGAAAGCAUUAGAGAUAGUGCCCCCCUUGUGGUCGGUGUACAGGUGGUGCAUGGCUGUCGUCAGCUCGUGUCGUGAGAUGUUGGGUUAAGUCCCGCAACGAGCGCAACCCUUGUUCUGUGUUGCCAGCAUGCCCUUCGGGGUGAUGGGGACUCACAGGAGACUGCCGGGGUCAACUCGGAGGAAGGUGGGGACGACGUCAAGUCAUCAUGCCCCUUAUGUCUUGGGCUGCACACGUGCUACAAUGGCAGGUACAAUGAGCUGCGAAGCCGUGAGGCGGAGCGAAUCUCAAAAAGCCUGUCUCAGUUCGGAUUGGGGUCUGCAACUCGACCCCAUGAAGUCGGAGUUGCUAGUAAUCGCAGAUCAGCAUUGCUGCGGUGAAUACGUUCCCGGGUCUUGUACACACCGA
Molecule: ribosomal RNA, 443 nt
Filed under: uncultured bacterium
Lineage: Bacteria
Description: bacterial SSU rRNA
Rfam family: Bacterial small subunit ribosomal RNA
Source: RNAcentral